RNAcentral lists this ribosomal RNA (2891 nucleotides) under Klebsiella pneumoniae subsp. pneumoniae. RNAcentral's name for it is "bacterial LSU rRNA". It matches the Rfam family "Bacterial large subunit ribosomal RNA". The record is from RNAcentral. Lineage: Bacteria; Pseudomonadati; Pseudomonadota; Gammaproteobacteria; Enterobacterales; Enterobacteriaceae.
ACUAAGCGUACACGGUGGAUGCCCUGGCAGUCAGAGGCGAUGAAGGACGUGCUAAUCUGCGAAAAGCGUCGGUAAGGUGAUAUGAACCGUUAUAACCGGCGAUGUCCGAAUGGGGAAACCCAGUGCAAUUCGUUGCACUAUCGUUAACUGAAUACAUAGGUUAACGAGGCGAACCGGGGGAACUGAAACAUCUAAGUACCCCGAGGAAAAGAAAUCAACCGAGAUUCCCCCAGUAGCGGCGAGCGAACGGGGAGCAGCCCAGAGUCUGAAUCAGCUUGUGUGUUAGUGGAACGGUCUGGAAAGUCCGACGGUACAGGGUGAUAGUCCCGUACACCAAAAUGCACAGGUUGUGAACUCGAAGAGUAGGGCGGGACACGUGGUAUCCUGUCUGAAUAUGGGGGGACCAUCCUCCAAGGCUAAAUACUCCUGACUGACCGAUAGUGAACCAGUACCGUGAGGGAAAGGCGAAAAGAACCCCGGCGAGGGGAGUGAAAAAGAACCUGAAACCGUGUACGUACAAGCAGUGGGAGCACCUUCGGGUGUGACUGCGUACCUUUUGUAUAAUGGGUCAGCGACUUAUAUUCUGUAGCAAGGUUAACCGUAUAGGGGAGCCGCAGGGAAACCGAGUCUUAACUGGGCGUUAAGUUGCAGGGUAUAGACCCGAAACCCGGUGAUCUAGCCAUGGGCAGGUUGAAGGUUGGGUAACACUAACUGGAGGACCGAACCGACUAAUGUUGAAAAAUUAGCGGAUGACUUGUGGCUGGGGGUGAAAGGCCAAUCAAACCGGGAGAUAGCUGGUUCUCCCCGAAAGCUAUUUAGGUAGCGCCUCGUGAAUUCAUCUUCGGGGGUAGAGCACUGUUUCGGCUAGGGGGUCAUCCCGACUUACCAACCCGAUGCAAACUACGAAUACCGAAGAAUGUUAUCACGGGAGACACACGGCGGGUGCUAACGUCCGUCGUGAAGAGGGAAACAACCCAGACCGCCAGCUAAGGUCCCAAAGUCAUGGUUAAGUGGGAAACGAUGUGGGAAGGCACAGACAGCCAGGAUGUUGGCUUAGAAGCAGCCAUCAUUUAAAGAAAGCGUAAUAGCUCACUGGUCGAGUCGGCCUGCGCGGAAGAUGUAACGGGGCUAAACCAUGCACCGAAGCUGCGGCAGCGACACUAUGUGUUGUUGGGUAGGGGAGCGUUCUGUAAGCCUGCGAAGGUGUGCUGUGAGGCAUGCUGGAGGUAUCAGAAGUGCGAAUGCUGACAUAAGUAACGAUAAAGCGGGUGAAAAGCCCGCUCGCCGGAAGACCAAGGGUUCCUGUCCAACGUUAAUCGGGGCAGGGUGAGUCGACCCCUAAGGCGAGGCCGAAAGGCGUAGUCGAUGGGAAACAGGUUAAUAUUCCUGUACUUGGUGUUACUGCGAAGGGGGGACGGAGAAGGCUAUGUUAGCCGGGCGACGGUUGUCCCGGUUUAAGCAUGUAGGCUGGUUAUCCAGGCAAAUCCGGAUAAUCAAGGCUGAGGUGUGAUGACGAGGCACUACGGUGCUGAAGUAACAAAUGCCCUGCUUCCAGGAAAAGCCUCUAAGCAUCAGGUAACAUCAAAUCGUACCCCAAACCGACACAGGUGGUCAGGUAGAGAAUACCAAGGCGCUUGAGAGAACUCGGGUGAAGGAACUAGGCAAAAUGGUGCCGUAACUUCGGGAGAAGGCACGCUGGUGUGUAGGUGAAGUCCCUGCGGAUGGAGCUGAGACCAGUCGAAGAUACCAGCUGGCUGCAACUGUUUAUUAAAAACACAGCACUGUGCAAACACGAAAGUGGACGUAUACGGUGUGACGCCUGCCCGGUGCCGGAAGGUUAAUUGAUGGGGUUAUCCGUAAGGAGAAGCUCUUGAUCGAAGCCCCGGUAAACGGCGGCCGUAACUAUAACGGUCCUAAGGUAGCGAAAUUCCUUGUCGGGUAAGUUCCGACCUGCACGAAUGGCGUAAUGAUGGCCAGGCUGUCUCCACCCGAGACUCAGUGAAAUUGAACUCGCUGUGAAGAUGCAGUGUACCCGCGGCAAGACGGAAAGACCCCGUGAACCUUUACUAUAGCUUGACACUGAACAUUGAGCCUUGAUGUGUAGGAUAGGUGGGAGGCUUUGAAGCGUGGACGCCAGUCUGCGUGGAGCCAACCUUGAAAUACCACCCUUUAAUGUUUGAUGUUCUAACGUUGGCCCCUUACCGGGGUUGCGGACAGUGUCUGGUGGGUAGUUUGACUGGGGCGGUCUCCUCCCAAAGCGUAACGGAGGAGCACGAAGGUUAGCUAAUCCUGGUCGGACAUCAGGAGGUUAGUGCAAUGGCAUAAGCUAGCUUGACUGCGAGCGUGACGGCGCGAGCAGGUGCGAAAGCAGGUCAUAGUGAUCCGGUGGUUCUGAAUGGAAGGGCCAUCGCUCAACGGAUAAAAGGUACUCCGGGGAUAACAGGCUGAUACCGCCCAAGAGUUCAUAUCGACGGCGGUGUUUGGCACCUCGAUGUCGGCUCAUCACAUCCUGGGGCUGAAGUAGGUCCCAAGGGUAUGGCUGUUCGCCAUUUAAAGUGGUACGCGAGCUGGGUUUAGAACGUCGUGAGACAGUUCGGUCCCUAUCUGCCGUGGGCGCUGGAGAAUUGAGGGGGGCUGCUCCUAGUACGAGAGGACCGGAGUGGACGCAUCACUGGUGUUCGGGUUGUCAUGCCAAUGGCACUGCCCGGUAGCUAAAUGCGGAAGAGAUAAGUGCUGAAAGCAUCUAAGCACGAAACUUGCCCCGAGAUGAGUUCUCCCUGAGACUUUAAGUCUCCUGAAGGAACGUUGAAGACGACGACGUUGAUAGGCCGGGUGUGUAAGCGCAGCGAUGCGUUGAGCUAACCGGUACUAAUGAACCGUGAGGCUUAACC